This is a long non-coding RNA of Gorilla gorilla gorilla (western lowland gorilla), 564 nucleotides long. RefSeq lists it as uncharacterized. Lineage: Eukaryota; Metazoa; Chordata; Mammalia; Primates; Hominidae. The record is from RefSeq and is a predicted model, not a curated record. The transcript has 3 exons.
UUAACCGAGCGAGAAUCCUGAGCCCAGGCCGGGAACGCGCUGGGAGAAGCGGACUCAGCAGCUCCGGCCACAAAGGCGCUUUUCAGCCGCCCCGGCUCAGGGAGAGGAAAGGGCAGAAAGCCGCGCCCCCAAUCCCUGCUCCGUCCGGCUAGGUCCCCUCCCCCCGCGCGGCCAGUCUUCCCAGUUCCAGCUAAGGCUCUGCCAGUCCGGAGAGCCCCUAUCUCUCCCAUCUCUGCUCUAGAUGCAGCCCAGAAGGGCGUGGGAGUAGCACCUGAGAAUAACGGUCUCCUUGUGCGGAUCUGGGGAGCCCCCUGCAGGGUGGCAACCAGAGGAAAGGGCCACAAUGUUCCACGGCCAAGGAGGAAAGAAGGAAUGCCCCUUUUCCCAUCUCUAGUUCUAACGUUCAAGAUCACUGGCCAGGCUGGAUGAAGUGUCUCACACCUGUAAUCCAGCACUUUGGGAGGCCGAGGUGGGAGGAUCCCUUGAGCUCAGGAGUUCAAGACUAGCCUAGGCAACAUGGCAAGACCCCGUCUCUACAAAAAAUAAAAAAUAAAUCACUCGUCA